GUUUUAGCCUCAUCUCAUCAAUUUCACUUGGCUGAUUACUUCUUGGAAGACAUGGAUGAUGCUCAUUCUACUCUCAAUUUCCUUGAGGAAGGGAAUCAAAUAAGAACCAAGAAGAGUUGUGCCAAAUACAGGGUUGGAUUCAAGAACCCUAUGAAGGAAGCAAGACAUGGAAUAUCUACAUGCAAGAAGCUGCUAAAGGUGUUGAAUAUUCUGAAAGAUAGGCUUGCCUUUUUUUAUCAACAUUUCAAUGUCCGGCAUUACUUCGAAGUGGUUUGGUGAAGGAGAAAAAUAUGUCAAAGCAAGCAGUCUUUCAAAUGGCCAACAAGAUUGCUCCAUGUGUUAUUUUCAUUCAUUAAUGUUAUUAGUUCAUUAAUGUCUGC
Long non-coding RNA from Arachis duranensis, 380 nucleotides. RefSeq lists it as uncharacterized. Lineage: Eukaryota; Viridiplantae; Streptophyta; Magnoliopsida; Fabales; Fabaceae. The record is from RefSeq and is a predicted model, not a curated record. The transcript is spliced from 3 exons.